AUUACAAUGGAGAGUUUGAUCCUGGCUCAGGAUGAACGCUAGCGGUAGGCUUAACACAUGCAAGUCGCGGGGCAGCACGGGUAGCAAUACUUGGUGGCGACCGGCGGAUGGGUGAGUAACGCGUAUGCAACCUACCUUAUACUGGGGAAUAGCUCUCGGAAACGAGGAUUAAUGUCCCAUAGUAUUAUUUACAGGCAUCUGUUUAUAAUUAAAGCUACGGCGGUAUAAGAUGGGCAUGCGUGCCAUUAGGUAGUUGGUAAGGUAACGGCUUACCAAGCCUACGAUGGUUAGGGGUUCUGCAAGGAAGGUCCCCCACACUGGAACUGAGACACGGUCCAGACUCCUACGGGAGGCAGCAGUGAGGAAUAUUGGUCAAUGGGCGA
Molecule: ribosomal RNA, 383 nt
Filed under: Bacteroidales bacterium
Lineage: Bacteria; Pseudomonadati; Bacteroidota; Bacteroidia; Bacteroidales
Description: bacterial SSU rRNA
Rfam family: Bacterial small subunit ribosomal RNA
Source: RNAcentral